RNAcentral lists this ribosomal RNA (783 nucleotides) under uncultured Propionibacterium sp. RNAcentral describes it as "bacterial SSU rRNA". It matches the Rfam family "Bacterial small subunit ribosomal RNA", at positions 94 to 889 of the family's 1533-position model. Lineage: Bacteria; Bacillati; Actinomycetota; Actinomycetes; Propionibacteriales; Propionibacteriaceae. The record is from RNAcentral.
AGUGGCGAACGGGUGAGUAACACGUGAGUAACCUGCCCUUGACUUUGGGAUAACUUCAGGAAACUGGGGCUAAUACCGGAUAGGAGCUCCUGCUGCAUGGUGGGGGUUGGAAAGUUUCGGCGGUUGGGGAUGGACUCGCGGCUUAUCAGCUUGUUGGUGGGGUAGUGGCUUACCAAGGCUUUGACGGGUAGCCGGCCUGAGAGGGUGACCGGCCACAUUGGGACUGAGAUACGGCCCAGACUCCUACGGGAGGCAGCAGUGGGGAAUAUUGCACAAUGGGCGGAAGCCUGAUGCAGCAACGCCGCGUGCGGGAUGACGGCCUUCGGGUUGUAAACCGCUUUCGCCUGUGACGAAGCGUGAGUGACGGUAAUGGGUAAAGAAGCACCGGCUAACUACGUGCCAGCAGCCGCGGUGAUACGUAGGGUGCGAGCGUUGUCCGGAUUUAUUGGGCGUAAAGGGCUCGUAGGUGGUUGAUCGCGUNGGAAGUGUAAUCUUGGGGCUUAACCCUGAGCGUGCUUUCGAUACGGGUUGACUUGAGGAAGGUAGGGGAGAAUGGAAUUCCUGGUGGAGCGGUGGAAUGCGCAGAUAUCAGGAGGAACACCAGUGGCGAAGGCGGUUCUCUGGGCCUUUCCUGACGCUGANGAGCGAAAGCGUGGGGAGCGAACAGGCUUAGAUACCCUGGUAGUUCACGCUGUAAACGGUGGGUACUANGUGUGGGGUCCAUUCCACGGGUUCCGUGCCGUANCUAACGCUUUAAGUACCCCGCCUGGGGAGUACGGCCGC